GAUGAACGCUGGCGGCGUGCCUAAUACAUGCAAGUCGAGCGAACAGACGAGGAGCUUGCUCCUCUGACGUUAGCGGCGGACGGGUGAGUAACACGUGGAUAACCUACUUAUAAGACUGGGAUAAUUUCGGGAAACCGGAGCUAAUACCGGAUAAUAUAUUGAACCGCAUGGUUCAAUAGUGAAUGACGGUUUUGCUGUCACUUUUAGAUGGAUCCGCGCCGCAUUAGCUAGUUGGUAAGGUAACGGCUUACCAAGGCAACGAUGCGUAGCCGACCUGAGAGGGUGAUCGGCCACACUGGAACUGAGACACGGUCCAGACUCCUACGGGAGGCAGCAGUAGGGAAUCUUCCGCAAUGGGCGAAAGCUUGACGGAGCAACGCCGCGUGAGUGAUGAAGGUCUUCGGAUCGUAAAGCUCUGUUAUUAGGGAAGAACAAAUGUGUAAGUAACUAUGCACGUCUUGACGGUACCUAAUCAGAAAGCCACGGCUAACUACGUG
This 497-nucleotide ribosomal RNA is filed under the name uncultured bacterium. Its description in RNAcentral is "partial 16S ribosomal RNA". It matches the Rfam family "Bacterial small subunit ribosomal RNA", at positions 28 to 507 of the family's 1533-position model. The record is from RNAcentral.